UGGGGAAUAUUGCGCAAUGGGGGAAACCCUGACGCAGCGACGCCGCGUGCGGGAUGAAGGCCUUCGGGUUGUAAACCGCUUUUGAUUGGGAGCAAGCUUUCUGGUGAGUGUACCUUUCGAAUAAGCGCCGGCUAACUACGUGCCAGCAGCCGCGGUAAUACGUAGGGCGCAAGCGUUAUCCGGAAUUAUUGGGCGUAAAGAGCUUGUAGGCGGUUCGUCGCGUCUGGUGUGAAAGCCCAUCGCUUAACGGUGGGUUUGCGCCGGGUACGGGCGGGCUAGAGUGCAGUAGGGGAGACUGGAAUUCCCGGUGUAACGGUGGAAUGUGUAGAUAUCGGGAAGAACACCAAUGGCGAAGGCAGGUCUCUGGGCUGUUACUGACGCUGAGAAGCGAAAGCGUGGGGAGCGAACAGG
Molecule: ribosomal RNA, 411 nt
Filed under: Verrucomicrobiota bacterium
Lineage: Bacteria; Pseudomonadati; Verrucomicrobiota
Description: Verrucomicrobia bacterium partial 16S ribosomal RNA
Rfam family: Bacterial small subunit ribosomal RNA
Source: RNAcentral